GAGGGAAAGGCGAAAAGAACCCCGGGAGGGGAGUGAAAUAGAACCUGAAACCGCAUGCAUACAAACAGUAGGAGCCUUUACGGAGGUGACUGCGUACCUUUUGCAUAAUGGGUCAGCGACUUACAUUCUGUGGCGAGCUUAACCGAAUAGGGGAGGCGCAGCGAAAGCGAGUUCGAAAUGAGCGUCCAGUCGCAGGGUGUAGACCCGAAACCAGAUGAGCUAUCCAUGGCCAGGUUGAAGGUGUGGUAACACACACUGGAGGACCGAACCGACUAGUGUUGCAAAAUUAGCGGAUGAGCUGUGGAUAGGGGUGAAAGGCCAAACAAAUCUGGAGAUAGCUGGUUCUCCCCGAAAACUAUUGAGGUAGUGCCUCGUGUGUCGCUCCAGGGGGUAGAGCACUGUUUUGGCUAGGGGGACAUGGAGUCUUACCAAACCAAGGCAAACUCCGAAUACCUGGAAGCGUGAGCACGGGAGACAGAGCACCGGGUGCUAACGUCCGGACUCAAAAGGGAAACAACCCAGACCGCCGGCUAAGGUCCCUAAUAUUUGCUAAGUGGAAAACGAAGUGGAAAGGCUAAGACAGUCAGGAAGUUGGCUUAGAAGCAGCCAUCCUUCAAAGAAAGCGUAAUAGCUCACUGGUCGAGUCCUUCUGCGCGGAAGAUGUAACGGGGCUAAGCUGUUAACCGAAGCCGCGGAUGCACUGGUAAUCCAGUGCGUGGUAGGGGAGCGUUCUGUAAGUCUGCGAAGGCGGUUCGAGAGGACUGCUGGAGAUAUCAGAAGUGCGAAUGCUGACAUGAGUAACGUUAAAGCAGGUGAAAAGCCUGCUCGCCGUAAGCCCAAGGAUUCCUGCUCUACGUUCAUCGGAGCAGGGUGAGUCGGCUCCUAAGGUCAGGCCGAAAGGCGUAGCCGAUGGGAAUCAGGUUAAUAUUCCUGAACCUGCGUCAGAUGCGAUGGGGGGACGGAGCAUGAAAGAUCAUCCGGGUGUUGGAAGUCCCGGUUGACGAGCGUAGGAGGUCUGCAGGCAAAUCCGCAGACGAUUCUCCAAGGCAAAGACACGUGCCGCCACGGCGGCGAAGUGAUCGGAAGUGCUUCCAAGAAAAGCCUCUAAGCCCCAGUCUGACGCGGACCGUACCGCAAACCGACACUGGUGGGCGAGCUGAAUAUGCUCAGGCGCUUGAGAGAACUCGGGAGAAGGAACUCGGCAAAUUGACACCGUAACUUCGGAAGAAGGUGUGCCGUAGUAGCGUGAGAGGAGAGACUCCUCGAGCGUGAAUCGGUCUCAGAGAAUAGGUGGCUGCGACUGUUUAUUAAAAACACAGCACUCUGCAAAGUCGAAAGACGACGUAUAGGGUGUGAUGCCUGCCCGGUGCUGGAAGAUUAAUUGAUGGGGUGAGAGCCCUUGAUCGAAGUCCCAGUAAACGGCGGCCGUAACUAUAACGGUCCUAAGGUAGCGAAAUUCCUUGUCGGGUAAGUUCCGACCUGCACGAAUGGCAUAACGAUGGCCACACUGUCUCCUCCCGAGACUCAGUGAAGUUGAAAUGUUUGUGAUGAUGCAAUCUACCCGCGGCUAGACGGAAAGACCCCAUGAACCUUUACUGCAGCUUUGCAUUGAACUGUGAACCGAUUUGUGUAGGAUAGGUGGGAGGCAGAGAAGAGGCCACGCCAGUGGUCUUGGAGCCGACCUUGAAAUACCACCCUGAUUUGUUUGCGGUUCUAACCACGGACAGUGAUCCUGUCUUGGGACCGUGCAUGGUAGGCAGUUUGACUGGGGCGGUCUCCUCCUAAAGGGUAACGGAGGAGUGCAAAGGUACGCUAGGUACGGUCGGAAAUCGUGCUGAUAGUGCAAUGGCAUAAGCGUGCUUGACUGCGAGACCAACAAGUCGAGCAGAUGCGAAAGCAGGUCAUAGUGAUCCGGUGGCUCUGAAUGGAAGGGCCAUCGCUCAACGGAUAAAAGGUACUCUG
This 1962-nucleotide ribosomal RNA is filed under the name human gut metagenome. RNAcentral describes it as "bacterial LSU rRNA". It matches the Rfam family "Bacterial large subunit ribosomal RNA", at positions 505 to 2470 of the family's 2925-position model. The record is from RNAcentral.